Molecule: ribosomal RNA, 445 nt
Filed under: uncultured bacterium
Lineage: Bacteria
Description: partial 16S ribosomal RNA
Rfam family: Bacterial small subunit ribosomal RNA
Source: RNAcentral
GUAGGGAAUAUUGGGCAAUGGAGGCAACUCUGACGCAGCCAUGCCGCGUGCAGGAAGAAGGCGCUACGCGUUGUAAACUGCUUUUAACCGGGAAGAAACCCCAGGACGUGUCCUGGGUUGACGGUACCGGAGGAAUAAGCACCGGCUAACUUCGUGCCAGCAGCCGCGGUAAUACGAAGGGUGCAAGCGUUAUCCGGAUUCAUUGGGUUUAAAGGGUGCGUAGGCGGAGCGUUAAGUCAGUGGUGAAAUCCUGCAGCUUAACUGUAGACUUGCCAUGGAUACUGGCGCUCUUGAGUGCGCUUGAAGUGGGCGGAAUGUGCCGUGUAGCGGUGAAAUGCUUAGAUAUGGCACAGAACACCAAUUGCGAAGGCAGCUCACUAAGGCGAUACUGACGCUGAGGCACGAAAGCGUGGGGAUCGAACAGGAUUAGAAACCCCUGUAGUCC